UGUGUGGUGAGUUCCCUGUAGAUAUAAGAUGCUAUAAAUGUUCUAUUUCCUAUGUGACGUCUCAGUGAUCUGCACCUGACACUGCUCCUACUGUCAGUAUGGGGAGAUACUUACUGCUUGUCCUCUCCGCUCUCUUCUCUCUCUCUGUUCCAGGUUCCUAUGGGCAGAUUGUACUGACUCAGUCUCCAGAUUAUGUCUCUGUGUCACCAGGAGAAACUGUCACCAUCACAUGUAAAGCCAGUAGCAGUGUUUACGACAUAUUAGCCUGGUACCAACAGAAAUCAGGGCAGGCACCAAAGCUGCUGAUCUAUGCUGCAAGCACUCGACACACAGGGACCCCAGAGCGGAUCAGCGGCAGUGGGUCUGGAUCAGGUUACACAGAUUACUCUCUUACAAUCAGCAGAAUGGAAGCAGAAGAUGCAGCAGAUUAUUACUGUCAGACAAGUUACAGUGGGUCACACAGUGAUACAGAGCUGAACAAAAUCCUCCCUGUUACUGUGCCAGUGCCCAGUGAGUUAUUUACAUGAUACUCUAUAAAGCUA
Non-coding RNA from Xenopus laevis (African clawed frog), 542 nucleotides. The record is from the annotation of a RefSeq genome assembly. Lineage: Eukaryota; Metazoa; Chordata; Amphibia; Anura; Pipidae.